Molecule: non-coding RNA, 82 nt
Organism: Lodderomyces parapsilosis
Lineage: Eukaryota; Fungi; Ascomycota; Pichiomycetes; Serinales; Debaryomycetaceae
Source: the annotation of a RefSeq genome assembly
GGCAAUGUGACCGAGUGGUUAAGGUGUCUGACUCGAAAUCAGAUGGACUUUGUCCGCACAGGUUCAAAUCCUGUCAUUGUCG